GAUGAACGCUGGCGGCGUGCCUAAUACAUGCAAGUCGAGCGAACGGACGAGAAGCUUGCUUCUCUGACGUUAGCGGCGGACGGGUGAGUAACACGUGGAUAACCUACCUAUAAGACUGGGAUAACUUCGGGAAACCGGAGCUAAUACCGGAUAAUAUAUUGAACCGCAUGGUUCAAAAGUGAAAGACGGUCUUGCUGUCACUUAUAGAUGGAUCCGCGCCGCAUUAGCUAGUUGGUAAGGUAACGGCUUACCAAGGCAACGAUGCCUAGCCGACCUGAGAGGGUGAUCGGCCACACUGGCACUGAGACACGGUCCAGACUCCUACGGGAGGCAGCAGUAGGGAAUCUUCCGCAAUGGGCGAAAGCCUGACGGAGCAACGCCGCGUGAGUGAUGAAGGUCUUCGGAUCGUAAAACUCUGUUAUUAGGGAAGAACAUAUGUGUAAGUAACUAUGCACAUCUUGACGGUACCUAAUCAGAAAGCCACGGCUAACUACGUG
RNAcentral lists this ribosomal RNA (497 nucleotides) under uncultured bacterium. RNAcentral's name for it is "partial 16S ribosomal RNA". It matches the Rfam family "Bacterial small subunit ribosomal RNA", at positions 28 to 507 of the family's 1533-position model. The record is from RNAcentral.